This 253-nucleotide ribosomal RNA is filed under the name uncultured bacterium. Its description in RNAcentral is "partial 16S ribosomal RNA". It matches the Rfam family "Bacterial small subunit ribosomal RNA", at positions 524 to 776 of the family's 1533-position model. The record is from RNAcentral.
UACGGAGGGAGCUAGCGUUGUUCGGAAUCACUGGGCGUAAAGCGCACGUAGGCGGCUACUCAAGUCGGGGGUGAAAGCCCGGGGCUCAACCCCGGAACUGCCCUCGAAACUAGGUAGCUAGAAUCUUGGAGAGGCGAGUGGAAUUCCGAGUGUAGAGGUGAAAUUCGUAGAUAUUCGGAAGAACACCAGUGGCGAAGGCGACUCGCUGGACAAGUAUUGACGCUGAGGUGCGAAAGCGUGGGGAGCAAACAGG